UGGGGAAUCUUGCACAAUGGAGGAAACUCUGAUGCAGCGACGCCGCGUGAGCGAAGAAGCCUUUCGGGGUGUAAAGCUCUUACGCCAGGGACGAUAAUGACGGUACCUGGAGAAGCAGCUGCGGCUAACUACGUGCCAGCAGCCGCGGUAAUACGUAGGCAGCAAGCGUUGUUCGGAAUUACUGGGCGUAAAGGGUGCGUAGGCGGCGCUGUAAGUUUGGUGUGAAAUCUCCCGGCUUAACUGGGAGGGUGCACUGAAAACUGGAGCGCUCGAGUAUGGGAGAGGAAAGCGGAAUUCCUGGUGUAGCGGUGAAAUGCGUAGAGAUCAGGAGGAACACCUGCGGUGUAGACGGCUUUCUGGACCAUCACUGACGCUGAGGCACGAAAGCGUGGGUAGCAAACAGG
RNAcentral lists this ribosomal RNA (404 nucleotides) under uncultured bacterium. Its description in RNAcentral is "bacterial SSU rRNA". It matches the Rfam family "Bacterial small subunit ribosomal RNA", at positions 355 to 776 of the family's 1533-position model. The record is from RNAcentral.